RNAcentral lists this ribosomal RNA (671 nucleotides) under uncultured fungus. RNAcentral describes it as "eukaryotic LSU rRNA". It matches the Rfam family "Eukaryotic large subunit ribosomal RNA", at positions 24 to 664 of the family's 3401-position model. The record is from RNAcentral. Lineage: Eukaryota; Fungi.
CCCGCUGAACUUAAGCAUAUCAGUAAGCGGAGGAAAAGAAACUAACUAGGAUUGCCCCAGUAGCGGCGAGUGAACAGGCAAAAGCUCAAAGUGAAAAUCCGUGGCGCAGAGUUACGGAAUUGUAAUCUAGAGGAGUACUCGGAAGGCACGGGCCCCGCAUAAGUUCCUUGGAACAGGACGUCAUAGAGGGUGAAAACCCCGUAGUCGGCGGAGCCGCGGCUGUACGAGUGCUUUCGAAGAGUCGGGUUGUUUGGGAUUGCAGCCCUAAAUGGGAGAUAAACUUCUUCUAAAGCUAAAUAUUUAUGGGAGACCGAUAGCGAACAAGUACUGCGAAGGAAAGGUGAAAAGAACUUUGAAAAGAGGGUUAAAAGACUUGAAAUCGUUGAGAAGGAAGCGGUAGAAGAGUAAUUAUUCGGUCGCGAUGUUGCCGCGUGAGCACGGGUCGCCCGCCUGAUGUAGUACUUCAUCGGGCUUGCGGGCGGGCCGACAACCGGGCUCUGCGGCUUUUUCGCGGCCGGGAGGCAGCGUGGGGUUAGGGCUGUGGGACUCACCGGGGCGGACGCACCAGUGCCCCCGGGCGCUGGAGCCGCUUCGGAAAACCACAGCCUGGCCCGAGGGGCCUACGGGCGACGCUGCCAAAAUGGCUUCUACUGACCCGUCUUGAAACACGG